Molecule: ribosomal RNA, 384 nt
Filed under: uncultured bacterium
Lineage: Bacteria
Description: bacterial SSU rRNA
Rfam family: Bacterial small subunit ribosomal RNA
Source: RNAcentral
AUUGAACGCUGGCGGCAUGCCUUACACAUGCAAGUCGAACGGCAGCACGGGGGCAACCCUGGUGGCGAGUGGCGAACGGGUGAGUAACAUAUCGGAACAUACCCUAGAGUGGGGAUAACGUAGCGAAGUUACGCUAAUACCGCAUGCGAUCUAAGGAUGAAAGUGGGGGAUCUUCGGACCUCAUGCUCAUGGAGUGGCCGAUAUCUGAUUAGCUAGUUGGUGAGGUAAAGGCUCACCAAGGCGACGAUCAGUAGCUGGUUUGAGAGAACGACCAGCCACACUGGAACUGAGACACGGUCCAGACUCCUACGGGAGGCAGCAGUGGGGAAUUUUGGACAAUGGGGGCAACCCUGAUCCAGCAAUGCCGCGUGAGUGAAGAAGGCC